This 55-nucleotide transfer RNA is filed under the name Wellcomia compar. RNAcentral describes it as "tRNA-Leu". The record is from RNAcentral. Lineage: Eukaryota; Metazoa; Nematoda; Chromadorea; Rhabditida; Oxyuridae.
AAUUGUUUAGUAUAAGAAGUAUGGUAAAUUUAGAGUUUAUUGGUUGAUAUAAUUU